GUGGGCUGCACCAGAAGCCAGUAGCUUAACCGAAAGGGGAGCGCUGACCACGGUGUGGUUCAUGACUGGGGUGAAGUCGUAACAAGGUAGCCGUAGGUGAACCUGCAGAAGGAUCA
RNAcentral lists this ribosomal RNA (116 nucleotides) under uncultured eukaryote. Its description in RNAcentral is "partial small subunit ribosomal RNA". It matches the Rfam family "Bacterial small subunit ribosomal RNA", at positions 1410 to 1525 of the family's 1533-position model. The record is from RNAcentral.